GGGUUGUGAGGUUAAGCGACUAAGCGUACACGGUGGAUGCCCUGGCAGUCAGAGGCGAUGAAGGACGUGCUAAUCUGCGAUAAGCGUCGGUAAGGUGAUAUGAACCGUUAUAACCGGCGAUUUCCGAAUGGGGAAACCCAGUGUGUUUCGACACACUAUCAUUAACUGAAUCCAUAGGUUAAUGAGGCGAACCGGGGGAACUGAAACAUCUAAGUACCCCGAGGAAAAGAAAUCAACCGAGAUUCCCCCAGUAGCGGCGAGCGAACGGGGAGCAGCCCAGAGCCUGAAUCAGUGUGUGUGUUAGUGGAAGCGUCUGGAAAGGCGCGCGAUACAGGGUGACAGCCCCGUACACAAAAAUGCACAUGCUGUGAGCUCGAUGAGUAGGGCGGGACACGUGGUAUCCUGUCUGAAUAUGGGGGGACCAUCCUCCAAGGCUAAAUACUCCUGACUGACCGAUAGUGAACCAGUACCGUGAGGGAAAGGCGAAAAGAACCCCGGCGAGGGGAGUGAAAAAGAACCUGAAACCGUGUACGUACAAGCAGUGGGAGCACGCUUAGGCGUGUGACUGCGUACCUUUUGUAUAAUGGGUCAGCGACUUAUAUUCUGUAGCAAGGUUAACCGAAUAGGGGAGCCGAAGGGAAACCGAGUCUUAACUGGGCGUUAAGUUGCAGGGUAUAGACCCGAAACCCGGUGAUCUAGCCAUGGGCAGGUUGAAGGUUGGGUAACACUAACUGGAGGACCGAACCGACUAAUGUUGAAAAAUUAGCGGAUGACUUGUGGCUGGGGGUGAAAGGCCAAUCAAACCGGGAGAUAGCUGGUUCUCCCCGAAAGCUAUUUAGGUAGCGCCUCGUGAAUUCAUCUCCGGGGGUAGAGCACUGUUUCGGCAAGGGGGUCAUCCCGACUUACCAACCCGAUGCAAACUGCGAAUACCGGAGAAUGUUAUCACGGGAGACACACGGCGGGUGCUAACGUCCGUCGUGAAGAGGGAAACAACCCAGACCGCCAGCUAAGGUCCCAAAGUCAUGGUUAAGUGGGAAACGAUGUGGGAAGGCCCAGACAGCCAGGAUGUUGGCUUAGAAGCAGCCAUCAUUUAAAGAAAGCGUAAUAGCUCACUGGUCGAGUCGGCCUGCGCGGAAGAUGUAACGGGGCUAAACCAUGCACCGAAGCUGCGGCAGCGACGCUGAUGCGUUGUUGGGUAGGGGAGCGUUCUGUAAGCCUGCGAAGGUGUGCUGUGAGGCAUGCUGGAGGUAUCAGAAGUGCGAAUGCUGACAUAAGUAACGAUAAAGCGGGUGAAAAGCCCGCUCGCCGGAAGACCAAGGGUUCCUGUCCAACGUUAAUCGGGGCAGGGUGAGUCGACCCCUAAGGCGAGGCCGAAAGGCGUAGUCGAUGGGAAACAGGUUAAUAUUCCUGUACUUGGUGUUACUGCGAAGGGGGGACGGAGAAGGCUAUGUUGGCCGGGCGACGGUUGUCCCGGUUUAAGCGUGUAGGCUGGUUUUCCAGGCAAAUCCGGAAAAUCAAGGCUGAGGCGUGAUGACGAGGCACUACGGUGCUGAAGCAACAAAUGCCCUGCUUCCAGGAAAAGCCUCUAAGCAUCAGGUAACAUCAAAUCGUACCCCAAACCGACACAGGUGGUCAGGUAGAGAAUACCAAGGCGCUUGAGAGAACUCGGGUGAAGGAACUAGGCAAAAUGGUGCCGUAACUUCGGGAGAAGGCACGCUGAUAUGUAGGUGAAGUCCCUCGCGGAUGGAGCUGAAAUCAGUCGAAGAUACCAGCUGGCUGCAACUGUUUAUUAAAAACACAGCACUGUGCAAACACGAAAGUGGACGUAUACGGUGUGACGCCUGCCCGGUGCCGGAAGGUUAAUUGAUGGGGUUAGCCGCAAGGCGAAGCUCUUGAUCGAAGCCCCGGUAAACGGCGGCCGUAACUAUAACGGUCCUAAGGUAGCGAAAUUCCUUGUCGGGUAAGUUCCGACCUGCACGAAUGGCGUAAUGAUGGCCAGGCUGUCUCCACCCGAGACUCAGUGAAAUUGAACUCGCUGUGAAGAUGCAGUGUACCCGCGGCAAGACGGAAAGACCCCGUGAACCUUUACUAUAGCUUGACACUGAACAUUGAGCCUUGAUGUGUAGGAUAGGUGGGAGGCUUAGAAGUGUGGACGCCAGUCUGCAUGGAGCCGACCUUGAAAUACCACCCUUUAAUGUUUGAUGUUCUAACGUUGACCCGUAAUCCGGGUUGCGGACAGUGUCUGGUGGGUAGUUUGACUGGGGCGGUCUCCUCCUAAAGAGUAACGGAGGAGCACGAAGGUUGGCUAAUCCUGGUCGGACAUCAGGAGGUUAGUGCAAUGGCAUAAGCCAGCUUGACUGCGAGCGUGACGGCGCGAGCAGGUGCGAAAGCAGGUCAUAGUGAUCCGGUGGUUCUGAAUGGAAGGGCCAUCGCUCAACGGAUAAAAGGUACUCCGGGGAUAACAGGCUGAUACCGCCCAAGAGUUCAUAUCGACGGCGGUGUUUGGCACCUCGAUGUCGGCUCAUCACAUCCUGGGGCUGAAGUAGGUCCCAAGGGUAUGGCUGUUCGCCAUUUAAAGUGGUACGCGAGCUGGGUUUAGAACGUCGUGAGACAGUUCGGUCCCUAUCUGCCGUGGGCGCUGGAGAACUGAGGGGGGCUGCUCCUAGUACGAGAGGACCGGAGUGGACGCAUCACUGGUGUUCGGGUUGUCAUGCCAAUGGCACUGCCCGGUAGCUAAAUGCGGAAGAGAUAAGUGCUGAAAGCAUCUAAGCACGAAACUUGCCCCGAGAUGAGUUCUCCCUGACUCCUUGAGAGUCCUGAAGGAACGUUGAAGACGACGACGUUGAUAGGCCGGGUGUGUAAGCGCAGCGAUGCGUUGAGCUAACCGGUACUAAUGAACCGUGAGGCUUAACCUUACAACGCCGAAG
RNAcentral lists this ribosomal RNA (2927 nucleotides) under Escherichia coli. Its description in RNAcentral is "partial 23S ribosomal RNA". It matches the Rfam family "Bacterial large subunit ribosomal RNA". The record is from RNAcentral. Lineage: Bacteria; Pseudomonadati; Pseudomonadota; Gammaproteobacteria; Enterobacterales; Enterobacteriaceae.